CCCGCGGGCGCCGCACGCCAGGGGCAGGGCGCCCACCGCGCUCACGCUCCGCCCUCGCUUGCCCAGGGACGCUCCGCUGGCGGAUUUGGCGCGGCCUGGAGUGACGCGUCGGGGCGUCGGCGACCCCGGAAAGCCCGGCCGCGCCCCACCGGGGGUGCCUGCGCGCUCCCCCGACCCCGCCGUUGGCGAGGGCCCGGCAUCGGGCGGGCGGGGCCGGGGCCGCCGGCGGCCUGCACUGCCCAGCGGGAGAUCCGAGGUGACCUCCUGCCCGGGUCACGGGGGCUCUGAAACACAGGUGAUGGUUGGCAGUUCACGGUAGGACCUUGUUAUUAUGCCGCUAAAUGGCUCUAGGCGACAUCGGUGGCGUUUUUGUCUCUUCGGGUCCUUAAGUGUGGGAAUAGUGAUAAUAGGGCCGUGAAUCCAUUUUGGAUUAGAGGUUAAAUACGGUAGGGAUCUCCGUUUGGGACAAAACAGCCAAAACUGCAGGUAAUUUUGUCAUCUGCCCGGUGCUUCAUCCCCUGAAAGGAGCCCGUCCGAGGCCCACUGGCCCCCAGGCGCCGUGACCCCUGCUCUCCUGCUCCGGCCAGUACCCUCGAGGGAGGGGCCCCCCCGUCGGGGUUUCCGUGUGUCUGUAGGUGGUGUGCGGGCGGCACCGGUGCAGAAAGCCACGUCGCGCGUCCGAGUGAACGUGGCGCCUUGUCACGCCCAAGCGGCCUCUGCUUGGGACAGAAGCCGUGCGCCGGCCGGCCGGCCCCACGGCCGCCUGGGUUUCUGCUCCGGCACCGCACCGUGCUCCGUGCUCGUUGCCACCGGUGGGAGGGCCCGUGUGUAGAAAAGCAUGUUUUAGUUUAUCUUCAGUAGGGGGACGUCAGUGGCGCGUUCGGUACGGAAUCCUGCCGGGAGCCCUCGUCCCUUUCCGUCGCCGGUUUACCUUGCGGCGCUUGGAGCCUGUCUGCAGGUCAGGGGACGUCGGAAUCUUACCGUGAAAUGAAAGUGCUACGUGCAACUUUCUGUCACUUUGAGAGAAAGGAAAGGGAGCCUCCGAGCCUUCGAUCCGGCUCCUCGGCGGUAGGAAGUGGCAAAGGCCAGAGCAGCCCGGCACUUGAGAGCUGGUGUGAGCCCUGGGCCGCCGUGGCAGUAGAGGGCCGCGUCCCGUGAGCCGCACAGGGAGGCAGGUGCCACUCUCGGGCGCUCACACUCCACCUCCGCUCCUCUUCCCCAAUUCCUGGUUCUGGGCAAGCACGGCGGGCCGGAGGCUGCGGGGUUUAGGGGUCGGAAACCGAGCGGCGGGGAAGCGAGCGUGCCUGACCGUGCCCGUGUACGGCGGUGUUCCUGCCCAGCACGUGGCCGAGGCUGGAGAGACCUUCCCGCGCACCUGGCUGCUGGGGGCCCCAGGUGGUCUCGGCAGCUUUGCGCCAGGCCACACGGGGACGUCCUGGGCAGAGUGUGCCCCUGAUAGGAGGGAUACCCUGGUGUCAGAAGAUGCCUGUUGCCGCGUGUGCCCCCUUCUCCUGGAACACCCACGUGCCCAGAGUGGGCCUCAGAGCCCCGUUGUCGGGCGGCAGGAGACAUGCCUCUGGAAAGCAGGCACGCUGCCUCCGGGGACGCUGGUCUUGGGCUGCUGCUCCGUGAGCUCGAGGCGGAGGCUCUGAGAGUCCCGCGUGGGCUUGGCCGGGUCUCGUGAGGCGCGCUGCCCUCAAACGGAUCUGGGUUCGCCAUCGGGAGCGGGGAGCAGAGACGGUGAAAGGGGGAGAUGUGUGACGAUCGUGCUGCACACGCAGGUUUCAGAGAGUGUCACGGGCUGCAAGGCGGUGGCCGAGGUCUCUGGCCUGUGCCGAAGGGAGGGAGGGAGGGUGAUGCUCCUAGGAGACUCUGAAGUAAAUCUUUGGAGAGAAUCCCGGGCGGCUUCCCCAAACCUGGAGCUGCUUGUGAUAGAAGGGGCUCUUGUCUCUGCCGCUGACGUGUGCGACUGCUUUUGUUUUCUGGUGGUCUUUGUCCUUUUGAGAUAAUUCAGGGGGGACUGCUGUUCAGCGUCGUUCUGGUUUCCGUAGAAAUUGGUACGCGUCAGAGACUUGGGUGGCCUGCUUUUUGUGCAUUCGUUCUCGGAUUUAUCAGGAACGUUCAGUUGGGUAACCGAAUGUCUCUCGUAUCAGUUCAUUAGUGGCUUAUCUGCCAGUACUUACUUCAAAUACUGUUAGGUUCUAGGAAUUGUGAAAUCUGCCUCAGGUCCCCUGGCAGGAUUCUGUACCCUCAGCAGGCCACUGUCUUACUCAGUUCAGUAAACGAAGGUCCCAGAAAAUAAAGACUGACCAACAUGAGCUUCCUCCGCUGUGACCACCCACACCGUGUCCUGAUGCCCCCGUGCUCACCUGUGCACUCAGAGGCCACUGUAGUUGUAUUUUUUUAGUCCACUAGAGGGGGCUCUUCAGACAGCCUGUCAUCAGCAUGGACAGGUGCUCCGCAGCCAGGGUGUCCCAAGGUGGGGGUCCAUCAAAGGCGCUCAGACACAACCUCUAGCCCCCAGCAGCCCCGGUCCCCUUCAUUCUCUCUCCCAUUUUGUCCUGCCGGAGCUCCACUCAAGUCACCCAAGAGGCACAGCUCACCGGUGACAAAGCGUUCUAGGUCCUGCAGGGCCCGCCCCUGGGCUUUUGUCCUUGUCAUGCACCAGACAUCAUGCUGGCGUUUCAGACCAGCAUCCUUGCAAACCAGGGUCUGAGACAGAAUCUUCUGGUUACUGUUUCCAGACGGUCCUAAAACCACAGCAGCGCCCCUCAGCCACGGCCUCCCUUUCCGCAGUUUUGGUCCCACCGCACUCCGGCCACAGCAUCAGAAAGUCAGCGGCUGCCUGAUGGCACGUCGCACGCCCCUGUCAUUUACCUCCCCCACGUGACCACGAGAGGAGGAAGGGUGGGGAAGCUACAAGAGACACGCCGCGUCCAGACAGCUGUUCUCACAGCGUCACCACACUCGUCGUGUCUUACCGUUAGUUUCUGUUAACCUCUCCCUGUGCCUGACUUGUGGACGAGCCGUGUCGUAAAUGCACGUGUAGGGUUCGGGCGUCCACGGGGGGUUUGCACUGUACCUGCACGGAUGAGGGAGGGACUGCUGUAUACGCAUGUCUAGCAUGCCCCUUUCUGUUUCCAGUCAAGUCCUCGCCGAAUGGUUAUACUUUGCGUAUCGUGGUUUACACAGCGCUUUCUGCCAAAGCUCAGUGACCUCGCCGUGUGCUGUGGUUCAGACUGACGUGCUGGGCGCGCCCGCCCUCGUGUUCGUGCCGUGGCAGCAAUUCUGUGUCAUGCAUGAGACGGCGAGCUUUACUUUCUGGUACGGAUGCCAUGGUUUUGUGGAACGUGCAGGUUUGUUUCUGAUGAGUACGCGCGGUGGGCUCACACCUUUCCUGCCUGUACACAGCGGUCCUUUUCUUGAGAGGAAGUGGGGCCUCGGGCAUGGGCGUGCUGGUGUCUGGGGCGUUAAAGGGGGGCCCAUCCAAGCUAACCGGAGUGUCCCCGGGAGCCACGUGACCCUGAGAGUCCACGAGAUGCGUGCACCCUGGCGUCCAUCCGUGUGAACGGUCUCACCCAUUUUAUCGGUGGAGGAGUCACACGAUGCUGGGGCGCUGCCGGGUGGUGACCUCAGCCUGAGGCCGCACACCAGCACGUUCCCCCUCUGCCUCGAUGCUUUGCUCGGUGCGGGCCUCGGGCAUCAGGAGCGGCUUCCCACCCCCGAUGGCAGGUCUGCCCCGUCUGCCAGCAAGUUCAUAUUCUGAAUAAAAUAGGCACGUUGUCCAUUGGCUUCAAAAUGUUGAGAUGAAGCAGCUUUAUUCCAGAAGCUCCUCAGGACCCCAGCUUUGGGGGGACAUGCAGGUGUGGCUGUGACACGGUUUUAGUUGUGGUCGUGGUUGGUCAGUAAUGCACUCGUGUUUUGUCCAAAGCAGGACCCACAGGGUUAAUGGAGCUCUGUGCUCUGCCUGUAAGUCCUCGCAGGGCGUCGCGUCCCCGCGGGAGUCUGCAUCACAGCCUUGGGUUUCCAUAGGCAAGCUUUAGUCACGUGUGUGUUCGUUUGUUGUUUUUUUUUUUUUUAACAUUUAUUUAUUUUUGGGAGACAGAGACGGAGAAUGAGUGGGGGAGGGGCAGAGAGAGAAGGAAACAAAGAAUCCCAAGCCGGCUGGCUCCAGGCUCCCAGCUGUCGGCACAGAGCCGGACGUGGGGCCUGAACCCACAAACCGUAAGAUCAUGACUUGGGCCGAAGUUGGACGCUUAACCAGCUGAGCCACCCAGGCGCCCCACAUGUGUCUUCAUUUUAAGCAAACACAAAAGGGAAGUGCAGAAUGGAGGUCUCACUGUCCGUUCCGAGGCUGAUGAGCAGUUUUUAUGGUGGGACGUGUGGGCUGUGGCUUCAAAGUAAAAAAGUUCCAUCCUUCAAGUUAAAAUGUACAACAACUUAUUUUCAAAGUUAAAAGUUCAGUAUCCUAUUAAAACAAAAUUAGGUUAGAGUCAGAUAAGUAAACAAAGCGUUCGCCAUAU
Long non-coding RNA from Felis catus (domestic cat), 4523 nucleotides. RefSeq lists it as uncharacterized. The transcript is spliced from 2 exons. The record is from RefSeq and is a predicted model, not a curated record. NCBI's taxonomy places the organism in Eukaryota, Metazoa, Chordata, Mammalia, Carnivora, Felidae.